CUAUUAUGCACAAAAUAGGGGUGGUGGUGGUGAGAAGAAGGACAUUCAGGAGUGGAUGCUGACAAGUCACACGGGGAGGAGAGAGUCUACUCAAAAACACUGGGAUGAAGCAAAGGAGGAUGCAUCUGGACUAAACUACAAUUGAGCCGAUGAAAAAUAGCUUGAAAAUUAUCUAAUAUCCGAC
Camelus dromedarius (Arabian camel) is the source of this 184-nucleotide long non-coding RNA. RefSeq lists it as uncharacterized. The record is from RefSeq and is a predicted model, not a curated record. The transcript is spliced from 3 exons. NCBI's taxonomy places the organism in Eukaryota, Metazoa, Chordata, Mammalia, Artiodactyla, Camelidae.